CCUGCAAAGUACAAAAACACCCUUCUGCGAGAGCCUCUGCGUGGGACUCUGUUGUGAUGCUGAGAGGAAAUCACAGAGAGUUCCAGCCCCUGUGUUUACUCAAUGUACGCUGACCCAGAGGAGAGAACAUGCUGAAUGUGGAGUUUUGUUUUCCCCCGACCUGUCUGUCAAAGAUUUUAGGGAGCAGUGAUGAUCGCGACCGUGUCUCGAGGGAGAGAGGACAGCAGCUCAGGACAGAACGGCCUAACGACAGCAGAACCACCACAACAUGAAAAAGCCGGGGGCCAGUGCGCGCGGAUGAGGAAUCAUCUCCAGAAAGCCAGCUUGUCAGCCAUGCAGCCGACCGCGUGCUGUGAUGUACACACACCAAGAGGUUCUGCAUGCAUGUUUUAUAGCGGGCUGCAACAGAGACAGAGGCACUUAAAGCAGAAUUCCAAAUGAUAACCUGAGAGACAGAGGAAAGAGGCUCGCAGAGUUCAGCGGGU
Solea senegalensis (Senegalese sole) is the source of this 485-nucleotide long non-coding RNA. RefSeq lists it as uncharacterized. NCBI's taxonomy places the organism in Eukaryota, Metazoa, Chordata, Actinopteri, Pleuronectiformes, Soleidae. The record is from RefSeq and is a predicted model, not a curated record. The transcript is spliced from 3 exons.